This is a long non-coding RNA of Cygnus olor (mute swan), 1823 nucleotides long. RefSeq lists it as uncharacterized. The record is from RefSeq and is a predicted model, not a curated record. Lineage: Eukaryota; Metazoa; Chordata; Aves; Anseriformes; Anatidae. The transcript is spliced from 3 exons.
UUGUCCCUAGGGGAGUCUGAGAAGGUUCUCAGAAACCUUUUUGUGAAGCCUGAAUGCAGAAUACUUUAUUGAUCACUAAAGAAUUUGCACUGACAUGCUAUUUCCCCAUGACAUUUGAACCACCAAUUUCCUAGCUCUUGGGACUCAAGGGAACACAUGUACUGCUGUCGGCUUCUCUCCACACCCACUCUGUGCGAUGACUACAGAAUCAUUUUAAUCAAGAAUGAAGACUGCAUAAUUCAAGCAACAGGGUCAAAAGUCCUACAGGAAAAGUGCAUUGUUUUAACUUCAGUCAGUUUUUAAAUCAACAUUAUUAAAGCUUGGCUAAAUAAUUAAGGAACAGCACUCCAAACGGCAUCUGGGAUUGUCAAAAUGCAGAUGAGUUCAUAGUGCCUUCACACCUGGCACUCUUUACGCUGACUUGUGGAGUAAAGCCACUGCAUGAAGGGGAGAAAUAUAUCCCCUCGCUACUUGGAUGCUCUGGUCUCUGAUACAGGCAAACUCCUGGCAGGUAGCUCCACCUGACUCCCAAGUGGAUGGGCUGUGUGUGGUGUGUGGAAAGGUCUAAUGUACGGGUGCUGCCAAACCACGUUUAGUUAAUUGGUUCACGUAAUAGCUGCUCUUUGGGUGGGCAAUUUAGUGGUGAGGGAUGUGAAGAUUUAACUCUCCUAUCCUUCAGGCUGUUGUCCACAUUUGCAAACCAUGCUCAGACCUGACCAUGCCUCCACACUGAAGACUGUGUCCAGCUGUGAUUUCUGCUAGGACCUCUUACAACUUCUCUGGAGCUCUACCUGCCAUGAGUGCCACCACGAUGUUCUCUCUCUAUUGUAGUCCUGUAAUAAUAAUUGCAUAAACAGUCACCCCUGGGGGGUGACAUACAAAUAAAGGAAAGGCAAGAAAUCGAGAUAUUCUGUGAGAGGAGUCUAUAGGACAUAUGUACAGCAUAAGGACACAAGUCAGCACAUGUCUAGGAUGGGAGAACCUAGCAGAUGAUACAUGGAGUGGGAUGAAAAAGAGAAAGGCACCGAGCAAGGCUUUGAAUGGAGAAGCGGACUGCAUCCAACCUGCCCCAUGCACAGCUAACAGGCAGGAAGUUGUAUACAGAUUGUGUUUUCCUCCUCUGCUCUAUAUUUAUUAGCAGUCUCCAAAUUCUCAUCCCUUUACCCAGCUUUAUCCAAGAUUUCUUUGCAAGUCAAAGGGCACAGACCACCAUUUUUGUUCUGUUAUUCUUAAAUCUCUUCUUUCCUGCUGCUUCUGUGCAAAAGCAUUUGAAGAUCUUCACUGUUUCCCCAGGUUAAUACUUGACAGGUAGUGGACAUCUCCUAAUGUCUAUCAGGCAUGUAAGAAAAAAACCAGCUGUUCCUGCAUGUUUAGCCACUGUAUGAUUUCCAUAUGUCUUGCUGGUGUUGCUGCUUGCCUGGACUCAGGUACAUGUCAGAUGGAUUACUUUCUCCUGUGCAAAAACUGAACAUGUGAUUCAGCACAUUUCUGUAAAUAUUUAUUUAGAUGUUGAUACAGAUCUAAAUAAUCUGUUCUCCAGCUCCUUUGGAUCACUUUGAGUGUUCCUUGGCAGAAAUAUUUAUGAAUUUUAAGUAAAUACUGAAAAUUGCCUCAGGCUAUGAAAUCUGAAUUGAUAAAUGUGAGUUCUUGCACCAAAAAGAUGCUGCUAAGCUUUCUAGCUGGUGUAGAGAAAGGUCUAGCAACUCAGCCUAAAUUAUGGAUCUCAACUAUUAGCAAGAUAUAGCUUUUAAACAAUUUACUGGCUGUCAAUCAAAUCAUACAUGCAAUAAAUUUUAUAUUCAAAAGCAAGACAGAACUUUGUG